UGCCAGCAGCCGCGGUAACACGGGGGGCGCAAGCGUUAUUCGGAAUUAUUGGGCGUAAAGGGCGCGUAGGUGGCCUGGUCAGUCAGAUGUGAAAGCCCGCGGCUUAACCGCGGAACUGCAUUUGAAACUGCCAGGCUUGAGUGCGAGAGAGGGUAGUGGAAUUCCCAGUGUAGAGGUGAAAUUCGUAGAUAUUGGGAAGAACACCAGUGGCGAAGGCGGCUAACUGGCUCGGUACUGACGCUGAGAUGCGAAAGCGUGGGGAGCAAACAGGAUUAGAUA
RNAcentral lists this ribosomal RNA (279 nucleotides) under uncultured bacterium. Its description in RNAcentral is "partial 16S ribosomal RNA". It matches the Rfam family "Bacterial small subunit ribosomal RNA", at positions 506 to 784 of the family's 1533-position model. The record is from RNAcentral.